Non-coding RNA from Meleagris gallopavo (turkey), 3635 nucleotides. Lineage: Eukaryota; Metazoa; Chordata; Aves; Galliformes; Phasianidae. The record is from RefSeq and is a predicted model, not a curated record.
UGGAGUUUCGUAAAUGAGCCCAGGAUAUGGGUAGGCUUUCUAUCUAUUCUCUUCUAUUCUCUUUUUGUUAUUAUAACCUGCUUUGCCUACCUCUCUUGUUUAUUUCAUAAUUAUAGCAUCUUAAUAUUCAUUGAUUAUACACAUACACCAGCAAUCCAAGAAAGUAUUAAAGGACACUAUAGCAGAAAUGCAAGUCUCAGCUUAAAGCAGUGAUUGAGCACCUGGUAGGAAGGCAAGGCCAACUUAAAGGAGCUUAGGUCCAGGUAAUGUACAUGAAUGACCAGAAGGGCUGGAGCCAGGAUCCACCCCUUCCCAAACCUCAUUUAAGGGUUGGCAGUGGAGGUGAGUAUAUCUUGCAGAGAUCCCUGCAUACCUGGGUCUUCUGAAGACACAACGCCGAUAGGUAGCACACCUCACCUAAAACCUGUUUCCUCAGAAGUCUGGUUCUGUAAGUCUUGCUUUAGUGUAAAGGACAGAUGAAAAGCUGAGAAUUAAUUGGAACUUGAAAAGAACCCUUCUCAUGGGUUGAGAAUGUGCUGGAAGAAGAGAGCUCCACCCAGUUAUGCUUUCCCUUUGUAUACUGCUGAAAUAACCUAGGUGUAAACUCGACCGAGAACACCAAUGUCCAUAAAGAUAGUCUUCAUACUCAAGCAGUUAUAGAGAUCUCUGCUAGUAGAUGUAAAAGUUAGUGUGUGUCAUAUGGAUUAUGCAUGAACUUGGGAAAUUGACUGGAAACAGCCUGAGAGCAAGUCUUUUUUUUAAUUGUAUUUUUUUUUAGGGGGGAGGUGGAAGAGGCAGUUAAAUGGAAGGAAGGAAGUUGUUGGUUUUUUCUUAAAUUAUUAUGACUGAUUAUAACUGUACUGUGAAAAUUAGUACUAUGCAGGCUGGGGUGAAGUUAGAUGCGUGUUCUGAGAGGUGUUGCUUUUCUCUAUGCUGUGUUUGUGGUAAAUCUGUGUGAUGUCUAUGAGUCUCUGUGGCUUUUUGUUUGCUUUUUUAGCACAAAACAAGCGUAAGGCUACAUGGUAUUGGCUUUGGCAAAUGCACAGGAGACUAAAAUCUGGAACUGGGAGUUACUUUGUGCUCCAUAAAAGUCCAUCUACUAACCUGUUUUCAUUUUCUGUCUUAAAAUCCUGUGUUUCUCUUUGAUCAAUGCACUAAAAACCAGUGAAUCCAGAUGCUAUAGAUCCCUUGGAUCCUCCACAAGGCUUGGUCUUAAAUAAUGCUUUUGCAGUAUGGACAAGUAGUAGAACAUGGUGACCUACAUGGCACUGGCUACAGGGUUUUUUUCUUUGCGAGUGUGAAUCUAAUCCAACAAAGGCAGCUGUCUUUAAACCAAUAGAGCUACAGAAAUGCUAACAUCAUAGAACUGCAGCUAUUCUUCAGGAUAGCUGAUAGUAAAAUGUGAAUGUUUCUAAUAGAUUACUGUGCUCUCAUCAAAACUCUUUUAUCCAAGUAUGUUUUUCUGUAAAUCUUUUCUAAUGCCUUGUAUGUUGCCACUCUGUUAGUUCCAUGAGCUGUUGGAAGGUAAAAGCCAUGCAACUGAAUGCUCUUUUGAAUGGAAUAUGCAAUCCUACCAAAAGAGGCUAGUUCAUACUGUAUGAUUGUCAUCACUGUAUGCUAAUAACCUCAUUAGAGUAUACCACAUAAUGCAGUGCAAACAGUAAUGGGAAAAUGUACAGCUCUUGUUGAGUUUAAAACCUCUGCAUUUUUUGCAGUGCUUUUGUGCCAAGCCAAGAGUUGAAUUUACAGGGAGUCCCAAGAGUGUCACCCUUCAGUCAUCCUCUGUAAUGCUUCCCUUUUACUUUGUUGAAGUCCAGCAGCGCUGUUAACUGAUGGUUUUCUUCCAAGUUUUGUGGAUCAGAUGCUGCUUUCUCAGCCAAUAUAGCGAGAUUAUGUAGAUUAUCUAAGUUAUCCAGAGUUGUCUCAAUAAUGGAGACAGUGACUUGGAUAUUUCAAGCCCUUUCUGUCCCACUGCACUUGAUAGUCUGCUUUGUUAAUUAAAUUCUUUUUCUUGGGAUUCCCUGUAGAAUAUAUUGAGUGAAAUUCUGGCCCCACUGAAGAUAGUGGCAGAACUCCCAUUGUUUUCAAUGGUCUGAGACUUCGCUCAUAAAAUCAAGAAGGAAAUGAUUCAGGCCAACAGCCUACAGAAUACCAAUAGUCAUUUUCAAUGUACUGCUCUGACUGAGGCUUAUGUUUUGGAGAAGUAUAAUCCCAAUAGUAGGUGACAGUACAUCUCUCCAAGGAACAAGGGGAAGUGUUGGUGAGACUUAAAGGUUGUGACAGGCCUGCUGUCCUAAUUAAUAACUUGUCAGUAUUGCAAUGGAUUUAGGCUAUUUCAUCAGUACAGGACUCCAAACUUGGGGAUACACAAAGGCGGUGCUAAUUGAAGAUAUACAUUAGCUUAAAAUAUCACAGAGUUGGACAGGAUUGAAGCAUCUAGCAUAAACUUCUGAUCUCCAGUGCUACUUCGUUAACUUCAGUGGUGGUUGCUAAAAAUAUCCUGUAGCACAAAGUCAUGGACUCAUAAUGGUUUGUGUUGGACAGAACCCUAAAGACAACCAAGCUCCAGCCCCCUGCUGUGAACAGGAAUGCCUCCUACAAGACCGGGUUGCUCAAACCCAAUCCAUAGGGGGAUGGACUGUCAAGCAGUACCUCUCUAAGAUGCAUCACAUCUGCCAUCUGGGUGGUAGCUAGAGUUCUCUGGGGGGAGCCACACAAACCACACCAUUCCAGCAGCCAGCCAGAAGGGGGGGAUGACAGCUAGGUUGCUAAAAGAGCCAAAUGGCUCCUGUAACUCUGCUAAGCACAUCUAGCAAGGAUAGCAACUGAUGUGGAUAGAAGUCUAGCUGUGUUUUUUUUUUUUUCCCCUGGCUUUUUCUAAGUAUAAAAGUGCAAAUAAAGAGUGAUGACACUUAAAAGCUUUGGGUGGACACAAGGAAACUAGCUUUGGGAGAACUGGAAGUCCUGCCUGCCCCCAAGAGAAUCUAAGGAAGGUGACUGGAUGGAAGAGCUUGUGGUGUAUGUUGGACAAAUAGUGCUGUGUGCAUUUUCUCGUGGAUUACUGUUGGAUCUGAUGGUUAUGAUAUUGUCUACUCCUGUGAAAAUAAAUUUUUAUUUCCAUCCAGAAUACACGAUAUUUCUGUAUUCAGUGCAGAGUAAGGGAAGUAAAAUGUCAAGUCAUUUAAUCCAUAAAAGCUAGGUGUAAAAACCUAUACAGUUCAGUGAAAAUAUUGUAUGUACAUGAAGUGUUUUGUGCCUGUUAAGUGUUGUUUCCUCUUCCUGCUGACUUUUGGAUUAUUUGUUGGCUACUUUAGAACUAAUUCUUCUUCAGCUAAGGCUUUCUGUGUGACUCUGAUAAAAUCAUACUGUUUGAUAAUGAAGUUGGAAAGGGAAACUAGCCUAAUGUGGGACUUAUCUAAUGCUGAAAGCGUUUGUUUGUAAACAGAUGCCACUGCUAAGUGCUUAAAUUAGAUAAUAAAUGGUACCUAUCUCAUGAAUGCCUUGUGCUCCAUUUAGUGUGGUGUGCAGUCUGGGUGUUUUUUUUCCUGUUUUUAGGAUGUAUCAGGGAUGCAGUUUGCUUGUGAAUCUUGCACAAUUGUCACUGGUUCAAUACAGGCUUAGAAGGAUCAGCUCUU